Molecule: ribosomal RNA, 1148 nt
Filed under: Escherichia coli
Lineage: Bacteria; Pseudomonadati; Pseudomonadota; Gammaproteobacteria; Enterobacterales; Enterobacteriaceae
Description: partial 23S ribosomal RNA
Rfam family: Bacterial large subunit ribosomal RNA
Source: RNAcentral
GGUUAAGCGACUAAGCGUACACGGUGGAUGCCCUGGCAGUCAGAGGCGAUGAAGGACGUGCUAAUCUGCGAUAAGCGUCGGUAAGGUGAUAUGAACCGUUAUAACCGGCGAUUUCCGAAUGGGGAAACCCAGUGUGUUUCGACACACUAUCAUUAACUGAAUCCAUAGGUUAAUGAGGCGAACCGGGGGAACUGAAACAUCUAAGUACCCCGAGGAAAAGAAAUCAACCGAGAUUCCCCCAGUAGCGGCGAGCGAACGGGGAGGAGCCCAGAGCCUGAAUCAGUGUGUGUGUUAGUGGAAGCGUCUGGAAAGGCGCGCGAUACAGGGUGACAGCCCCGUACACAAAAAUGCACAUACUGUGAGCUCGAUGAGUAGGGCGGGACACGUGGUAUCCUGUCUGAAUAUGGGGGGACCAUCCUCCAAGGCUAAAUACUCCUGACUGACCGAUAGUGAACCAGUACCGUGAGGGAAAGGCGAAAAGAACCCCGGCGAGGGGAGUGAAAAAGAACCUGAAACCGUGUACGUACAAGCAGUGGGAGCCUCUUUAUGGGGUGACUGCGUACCUUUUGUAUAAUGGGUCAGCGACUUAUAUUCUGUAGCAAGGUUAACCGAAUAGGGGAGCCGAAGGGAAACCGAGUCUUAACUGGGCGUUAAGUUGCAGGGUAUAGACCCGAAACCCGGUGAUCUAGCCAUGGGCAGGUUGAAGGUUGGGUAACACUAACUGGAGGACCGAACCGACUAAUGUUGAAAAAUUAGCGGAUGACUUGUGGCUGGGGGUGAAAGGCCAAUCAAACCGGGAGAUAGCUGGUUCUCCCCGAAAGCUAUUUAGGUAGCGCCUCGUGAAUUCAUCUCCGGGGGUAGAGCACUGUUUCGGCAAGGGGGUCAUCCCGACUUACCAACCCGAUGCAAACUGCGAAUACCGGAGAAUGUUAUCACGGGAGACACACGGCGGGUGCUAACGUCCGUCGUGAAGAGGGAAACAACCCAGACCGCCAGCUAAGGUCCCAAAGUCAUGGUUAAGUGGGAAACGAUGUGGGAAGGCCCAGACAGCCAGGAUGUUGGCUUAGAAGCAGCCAUCAUUUAAAGAAAGCGUAAUAGCUCACUGGUCGAGUCGGCCUGCGCGGAAGAUGUAACGGGGCUAAACCAUG